AAAUUGUCUAAUAAAUAGACUUCCCAAACGCAUAAAAAAUGCGUAUUAUAUGCACCCUUAAAUCAGAAAAUUUUUAUCGAAAUUUUUUGGCAAGGGAAAGAAAAGUACGGUUUUUACCGUACUUUCUUAUUUGGAAAUCAUUUUGAUCGGCGUUAGCUUUCACCAAUGGAUAA
Molecule: non-coding RNA, 173 nt
Filed under: Muribacter muris
Lineage: Bacteria; Pseudomonadati; Pseudomonadota; Gammaproteobacteria; Pasteurellales; Pasteurellaceae
Description: Actinobacillus muris Actinobacillus sRNA 11
Rfam family: Actinobacillus sRNA 11
About the family: Arrc stands for Actinobacillus pleuropneumoniae Regulatory RNA Candidate. TargetRNA2 was used for the predictions. radA gene target may be involved in stress resistance.
Source: Rfam by way of RNAcentral